CAUCAUGCUGUUCUUGUGAUAGCGAGUGAGUUCUCAAGAGAUCUGAUGGUUUAAUAAGAGGUUUUCUCCCUUUUGCUUGGCACUUCCCCUUGCUGCUGCCACCAUGUGAAGGAGGACGUGUUUGCUUCCCCUUCUGCCUUGAAAAUUUCUUGAUGCCUCCCCAACCAUGCUGAACUGCAACAAAAAUGAAGUCUUCUGACCCACUACCAUAUCUGGGUAAAAUCUUUGGCUCAACGGAUGGCUUAAAUAUGACAAAUAAAAAGGCCAUGUUGUAAAGAUGGAAUCACAAGAUGGCACCUGCUUGGAUUCCUAAGUCACUCCCUACUGGAAGGAGGCUUUCCUGGAGACUCUCUAGAACUGCAGCAGACCUUAUUGUACCCUCAGGAUACCAGGCUCCAUCUUGGCCCAACAGCUCCA
Molecule: long non-coding RNA, 417 nt
Filed under: Homo sapiens (human)
Lineage: Eukaryota; Metazoa; Chordata; Mammalia; Primates; Hominidae
Description: HSALNT0407161
Source: RNAcentral